GUACGUGACUGCUGUUGCUGUCUCCCAUUAUGACGUGGAUUGCAACCGGCUCCAUGGACAGAACCAUAAACGUGUGGAGAAUAGGAAAUGGAGUCGACAGAACUGAACCUGUGGGCAUCCGUCUCCCUAAGGAAAGUCGGAGAAGAGUCGUUAAAACACCCCCGAUACAUUUCUGUGUCCAAUCACAAGAGAGCUGAAUAAAGAUCCAGUCAUAGCUGCAGACAGAUAUUCCUAUGGGCGCGAGUCCAUAGAGAAUCAUGGGUGUGAUUAAAACCAGCUCCAUGAAGAACCUGCUGCUCCUCACCCCUGACAGCAGCUCCUUUGAACUUGUCAGAAUCCAACGUUACACUGCUCAUCUGAUAACAAGUGCUCUUAUUAUAAUUGGAAAAAGUAAUUACUGCAAAUAAGAUUUUGUUCUGGGUAUCUUUAUAAAUUUGACAAAUAAUCUGAAUCUUUGAUCUCAU
Gymnodraco acuticeps is the source of this 464-nucleotide long non-coding RNA. RefSeq lists it as uncharacterized. Lineage: Eukaryota; Metazoa; Chordata; Actinopteri; Perciformes; Bathydraconidae. The transcript is spliced from 3 exons. The record is from RefSeq and is a predicted model, not a curated record.